This 253-nucleotide ribosomal RNA is filed under the name uncultured bacterium. Its description in RNAcentral is "partial 16S ribosomal RNA". It matches the Rfam family "Bacterial small subunit ribosomal RNA", at positions 524 to 776 of the family's 1533-position model. The record is from RNAcentral.
UACAUAGGGGGCAAGCGUUAUCCGGAAUUAUUGGGUGUAAAGGGUGCGUAGACGGAGAAACAAGUUGGUUGUGAAAUCCCUCGGCUCAACCGAGGAACUGCAACCAAAACUAUUUCCCUUGAGUGUCGGAGAGGAGAGUGGAAUUCCUAGUGUAGCGGUGAAAUGCGUAGAUAUUAGGAGGAACACCAGUGGCGAAGGCGACUCUCUGGACGAUAACUGACGUUGAGGCACGAAAGUGUGGGGAGCAAACAGG